UCUAUGCUGUGAUCUUAAAGCAGACAGCCACUCAAGGCCCUAGCAGGAUCGGCACUUGUGUCUCCUUUCGGGGGUGCCAGCCUUCUCGCCUUGAGUUUGUUUUCUUCCUGAAACUCUCCAGUCAUCACAAGCCUAUGUGACCAGAUGCUCAGCCCCUCUGAGUUCUGGCAUCUACUACUUCUGUUUCUUCAGCUCCAUCCAAUCCUGUUGGUCCCAGUCCUGGCCUUGACUUUGGCUACCAAGCACUCACCUGGCGUCUACCUCUCCUGAACCCGGCUUCUUAAGGAUACCGAAGUAUAUGGAGGGGGGCACAGCUGUCUGCAACUCCAGCUCAGGUGAUCUGACACCCUCUUUUGGCCUCCACGGACAGCUAAACGCACACAGUUGCAGAACGACCCAGAUCAUCGGUGGAUAUUCAGCAUGACCUCAUCAAUGCAAGCAGUGCCCAGACGAAGAAUGAGGACAUCAGCAGCCCCACCCCCACCCCCUUGGUAUCUCCCAGCCUCUUUCAACCACUGGCCAAACAAGGAGCCUCUAUCCUGACCUUUAACAUCGAAGAUUGGUUUGGGCUGGUUUUGAGUUGACAUAAAUGGGAUUGCCCAGUACACAUUCCUGUCUGGAUUCUUUGCUCCGCCUUAUGUUUUCCAGCUUGGCCUGUGUUUUGCAGAGCAAACCAUUCAUUUUCCACAGUGCAGUAGAGCGUUCUACACUUCCAGAGUGUGGAACACAAUUAAGAGUUCAUGGAGAAAGAGAAGAGCUGGAGAGUGAGCGAG
RNAcentral lists this small RNA (773 nucleotides) under Rattus norvegicus (Norway rat). Its description in RNAcentral is "uncharacterized LOC102549948". The record is from RNAcentral. Lineage: Eukaryota; Metazoa; Chordata; Mammalia; Rodentia; Muridae.